RNAcentral lists this ribosomal RNA (461 nucleotides) under uncultured bacterium. Its description in RNAcentral is "SSU rRNA". It matches the Rfam family "Bacterial small subunit ribosomal RNA", at positions 26 to 518 of the family's 1533-position model. The record is from RNAcentral.
AGAGCGAACGCUGGCGGCAGGCCUAAUACAUGCAAGUCGAACGGAUCCUUCGGGAUUAGUGGCGGACGGGUGAGUAACACGUGGGAACGUGCCCUUUGGUUCGGAACAACUCAGGGAAACUUGAGCUAAUACCGAAUGAGCCCCCAUCCUUAAACAAGAUGGGUGGGAAAGAUUUAUCGCCAUUGGAGCGGCCCGCGUCUGAUUAGCUAGUUGGUGGGGUAAAGGCCCACCAAGGCGACGAUCAGUAGCUGGUCUGAGAGGAUGAUCAGCCACACUGGGACUGAGACACGGCCCAGACUCCUACGGGAGGCAGCAGUAGGGAAUCUUGCGCAAUGGGCGAAAGCCUGACGCAGCCAUGCCGCGUGAAUGAUGAAGGUCUUAGGAUUGUAAAAUUCUUUCAGCGGGGACGAUAAUGACGGUACCCGCAGAAGAAGCCCGGCUAACUUCGCGCCAGCAGCCGC